UCACACCUCGCUCCCGCGCCGGCAGGUAGGCCCGUCAUGUUCGCCGGCGAGGAAGGCAGGGCUUCCAGAUCCGGCAACGGCGGCCUCCUCGCUGGUGGAUUGUCGGUUGCCCGGACGAGAGGGGUGCAAUGACGAGAGUGGUGCAAGCCACUGCACCCUCUCCUCCUCUUUCAUCUCAUCUCCACGUUAGCCUCUCUCUCACCCUAUCCUCUAUGCCUGAUGCGGUCCCAGGUCCGAUUCCCUCGAUUUUCCAAUGGCGGAUUCGGUCGUGGCCCUCUUCGGCAAUACAACGCUGCUCUCCACCCUCUUCCUCCCGUUCUCUACGCCGCUCACCUCCCCUCGGUGCCAGAUCCAGCUCAGGGGCUGCUGGAUUUGGUACGAGGAGGACACGUGCCGACCGGUUUCAAGGAGGAUGGGGAGAGCAAGAGCAGCAGCUUGGGCACCAAAGCCAUGACGGCGGCAAGGCAUGGGCUAUGGCAAAGUAUGGCGACGACGGCAGAAAGGCACAGACUAUGGCAAGGUCUGGACAGUCUUCUCUCGGGUGUACAUGUGGUCGUCAGAUUGCUCAUCACAUUAUUAUAGUUCCAUGAUACAUGCCGGUUAUUUUUGUUGUUAUAGUGAGUGUAAAGGUGUGCAAACGGGAAAUGAGUAGCGCUGUCAGCAAGAAAUAGAACACACUAAACAUGGACUUGAAUCUGGAAGUAUUACAUAUGACCCGGCAAAGCUUAAAUUUUCUGAUGACAUCAAAGAUUCUCGGUGAACCUGACAAUCCUGACAUAUUAUUGCAUCCAGCGUUCCAAUUUGGCCAGUCCAAAGGUACCAUUUGUUUAUAUCUCCAUUUUUACUAGCUCACUUUCCUGAUAUAUGUAUGAUAGAUCAUUAGGUUGGCAGUUCUUCCUGCCUUCUUUGCAUUUUAGUUCUCAGUGUAUUUUCUCUAUAUUCUUGAUCUAUACAUGGACUCGGAAUAAGGUGUUCACCCUAAAUAAGGAGGGAGGUCAGUACAUUUUUCCUACCUUAAAAAUCUGAAGUAUGGUUGAACAUUGUAUUAGAUGAUAUUCAGAUAAUAUUGUUAGUUUAUAACAAGCCAGUUGGUUUAUACUUAAGCCACUUGGUUAAUGCAAAGCUAUAUAUUCUAUAAUUCCUUUAUUUCUUACCAAGGAAUGCGAAUGUGCCAGUAUGUUCCUUCCAGUGCAUUUGCCUCUGUUUGAUUUUUUAUUGAUUUGUUGCUCCCCUAUUUUUGCCCCUAUAUUUAUUUGGAUACUGGAGUUCAUUUUCAAAGAGAUGAACCUCAUGGUCUUCAGGCUUCAGUUUAGACAGAUAAUUGUGGCGUCUUUAAAGUAACGAUGUUAUAUUGAGGUACAAGUCUUUUAGCCAUCAUAUCUGGAGUAGGCUCCAUUAUCCCGGGAAUUAUAUUGAAACAACUACAAUGGUUAAAAAUAUAUAUAUUUCAGUUCGAGAUUUUGAUAUUGGCCAGAAUUUAAUAGACCACAAAUACACAUUUUUACGAUCUCUUCAUUAUCUCAGUUCAAGCUCUUUGUAUAACAAGAUAAUUGGCAGCAUGUUGAGACAUGCCCUAAAUAUAGAUGGUAGUAUCAAUACCAGAUAUAAAUGGCUAAAAUUGUUGAUAUGAAUAGUCCAAUGUUUUCUUUUUUUUAUCUACAUUUUGGGCAUUUAGAUAGUAUUUACUAUUUUAGAAUGCAAUAUAUAUAUAUGUAGCACUGUGAGCAGAGACAGAUCAAGAGAUGCAAUGUCUGUAGUAGAUUCAUACUCUUCUCAAUUGUUAUCACCAGGUUGAGAAAUCACCAACUUUAGUAUGUGCUUAUGGGUUAUGUGUUCUUGAUAUUAACCAUCUUAUUUAUGAUCUCCUUUUAUUCUCUGAUGGUACCAAUCAAUAUUAUUAAUGGUUUGUCUUUUCUGAAAGUCCUUUGUUUGUAGUUAACUAGAUAACCAAAAAGAUUGGAGCUGAUGGCAUAUGGGAUUCCAAAAAAUGCCCAUGCUAUAUAUGUGGAGUCUGGAGAUAUGUUUUUUUUACAGGAAUCUGGAGAUGAGUAUAUAUUUUGUUCACCAGAUGAAUGUGUCAUGUGCCAGCCGUGUGCAAUCAUUAUUGAAACGGACUCAAAAUUUCAGGGAAAAAUUUUUGCGAAUUAUUUUUAAGUCAUGCUCUUCUCGAUUCUUGCGUUGGAGUGAUAUUGCUUUUAAUCUUUUCUUUUAUUUUGGACAUAAACUUUAAUUGCAAAGUUAAUCGCUCUUUUAAAUUUUAUAAAACCUUUCCAUUUAUUUUCUGUAAUCUCUAACUUUGGCUCUAAAUUAUAUUUCCUUUGAAUCCAUUCCCGAACACCUCCAACAAAUACCCUUUCAAUUCCCGUUCAACCAUCUCUAGAGCACAUGAAAUAUCAAUUUCUCUAGAGUUAAUACCUUUUUAUUUAGAGUUUACCACACUACCACCAAUUUUAGUUUUAUCUUCCACAAAUAUUUCCCCUUUGAAAUAUCGUUUAUCUAAAUUAUCCAUUCAAGAUUUCAAAGUCUAUUAUUUAGCUUGGGCCAAUAUUUCCCCGAUUGACCCGACUCUCUGUUAUAUCCCAUUAACCAUUUUUAUCUUUGGGACUAAACCGGUAUAACUCCCUUUUUGUUGGAAUUUAUUUUGGAUCACACCUCUAUCUAAACCUAUCCCGAAAAACCUUUAAUUCCUCUACAUCGAUCCAAAAUAUUCUAGGGUCAAGUUCCUAUUUUGAUCGAGCCACCUGUUUGAUUCCUAUGGCUUGAUUUCCUCCUCGGCACAAGAACUAUACUAUCACAAAUAAUUGAGUGAUUGCUCUUGUGCUAAGAAACUUAUUUCCAAUCCCUUCUAUUCAAAGUCCAACUUCCUUUAGCCACAAAUAUUUCAUCAAGAAUCCAUACCACAUAUUUUGGAGGCUAAAAUCCUAAUUAUUUACCCCCAUCUAUUUUUGACGUCAUCCCAAAAUUUAUCUAAAGUUAGAAGAUCAAUUAUUUGUGUUCCUUUUCCUCCCAUUUGAUUAUUUCAAUCUUACAUUUUAAAUAUUAAAGAAAAUCUUUUGUGACAAUUUUUAUAUUUGGUUCUUAUUGAAUUCUAUAAAAUUGGAGCAUUUUGAUCCUUAUUGAAUUCUUUUAAAGAUUGGAGCAUCUUUAUUUUUAUUUUAAAAUAAAUAUCUUUGAUUUUAUUUUAAAAAAUAUUUCAAACUCCUUUUGCUUUAAAACCCUUAUUCAAAAGACCCCCAAAUAUUUCUCUUUUAAAUCUAUUAAAACCCUCCAUUCAAAUUUUCCCUUAGUUUUCAUCUCCUUUGAAAUUCCAUUUCAAAUCCCUCCACACAAAAUUCAUAAAACCCCUAUUCAUUUUGGGCCAAAUUCCCUUCAAUUAACCCAAUCAGCACAAGUCUACAUGUCUCCUUCCUCCCUCUUGGGCUGUCAGCCCAGCCGAGCCGAGCCAAGCCGGCCCAUGGCCGAGCCGCUCCCUCCUCCUGUGGGCGCACUUGGCGCACGCACAGGGCGCCGCCGUCGCCGCCGUCUCGCCACUUCCCGAUGCCGCCCGCCGUUUUGCGCCGCCGCCGUCGUCUUGCCUUCGAGGCGAAGGAUCCGUCACCAACGUCAGCUGCGACGUCACGCCGCCGACGUCAGCCGCCGAAUCGAACCGCCAUCACCAACCAAUCAACGAACAGAGCUGGCGCCGUGCUCCACUUCUCCACGCCGCCGUCGCUGAGUUCUCCUUAUCUUCCUCCUCCGCAACCGCCUUACGCCACCGCCUCUCGCCGCCUAUAAAAGGACGACGAGGUCCCCUCUUCCUCCACACACAAACCGACUUCCUCAAGCUCUCUUUCUCUCUUUCUCUCCCAUGUCCGGCCAUUAGUACCACUGGCCGAUCUCCCUCACCGGAGCUUCGCAAGACAAACCCUCGCGCCACCAACUCCGCCUCGUCGAGGUGAUUCCAUUUUUUUCCUUUCCCCUCUCCCUCCACCUUAAGAUAAACCGCCACCACCACCUUCUCUUAUCGGCCGGUCUGAGCUUUUGCUACCGCCGUUCCGGCCAUCUCCCUCUCUCCCUCCGCCUUCCACCACUUUCCCCGGGUGCGCGUUGCUCGGGAACACCAUCUCCCACCGGCGUUCCUACCUCCCGGCCACCGGAGAGCUGGCACCUCGCUCGCCCUCCCCUCUGUUUCCUCUCGACUGCCAGACAGAAGAAAAGAAGAAGAGGUAGAAGAAACAUAUGACAAGCGGGCCCCACCUUUUAUAAAACCGUACAACAAGUUCUAUCGGCAUCCAAGGAGCUGACGUGGACCCAGAUGGCUACGCUGAAGCCGCAGGAAAUCUUAAGGCGCAAGGCAAGA
Molecule: non-coding RNA, 4339 nt
Organism: Oryza sativa Japonica Group (Japanese rice)
Lineage: Eukaryota; Viridiplantae; Streptophyta; Magnoliopsida; Poales; Poaceae
Source: RefSeq, a predicted model, not a curated record